RNAcentral lists this ribosomal RNA (381 nucleotides) under uncultured eukaryote. RNAcentral describes it as "partial 18S ribosomal RNA". It matches the Rfam family "Eukaryotic small subunit ribosomal RNA", at positions 592 to 976 of the family's 1831-position model. The record is from RNAcentral.
CAAUAGCGUAUAUUAAAGUUGUUACGGUAAAAAAGCUCGUAGUUGGAUUUCUACCGAAGAUAGCCGGUCGGGUCUUCGACCUUGUAUCUGGUUUUGUCUUUGGUAUCCUCAUAGGGAACGUUUCUGCGCUUUAUUGCGUGGUGCGGUAUCUAUGACUUUUACUUUGAGGAAAUUAGAGUGUUCACGGCAGGCAAACGCCUUGAAUAUAUUAGCAUGGAAUAAUAACAUAGGAUCUUCGUCCUAUUUUGUUGGUUUCUAGGGCUAAGAUAAUGAUUAAUAGGGAUAAUUGGGGGCAUCUGUAUCAACGCGUCAGAGGUGGAAUUCUUGGAUUGCGUUGCGACAAACUACUGCGAAAGCAUUUGCCAAGGAUGUUUUCAUUGA